Molecule: transfer RNA, 76 nt
Filed under: Chloroflexota bacterium
Lineage: Bacteria; Bacillati; Chloroflexota
Description: Chloroflexi bacterium tRNA-Glu
Rfam family: tRNA
About the family: Transfer RNA (tRNA) molecules are approximately 80 nucleotides in length. Their secondary structure includes four short double-helical elements and three loops (D, anti-codon, and T loops).
Source: RNAcentral
GCCCCCAUCGUCUAGAGGCCUAGGACGCCAGCCUUUCAAGCUGGUAACGGGGAUUCGAAUUCCCCUGGGGGCACCA